This 471-nucleotide ribosomal RNA is filed under the name uncultured Desulfobulbus sp. Its description in RNAcentral is "bacterial SSU rRNA". It matches the Rfam family "Bacterial small subunit ribosomal RNA", at positions 920 to 1382 of the family's 1533-position model. The record is from RNAcentral. Lineage: Bacteria; Pseudomonadati; Thermodesulfobacteriota; Desulfobulbia; Desulfobulbales; Desulfobulbaceae.
CCCGCACAAGCGGUGGAGUAUGUGGUUUAAUUCGAUGCAACGCGAAGAACCUUACCUGGUCUUGACAUCCCGGAGACCCUUAGGAAACUAGGGGGUGCUUCCAUCUGGAAGAAUCUGGAGACAGGUGCUGCAUGGCUGUCGUCAGCUCGUGUCGUGAGAUGUUGGGUUAAGUCCCGCAACGAGCGCAACCCUUGCCUUUAGUUGCCAGCAGUUCGGCUGGGCACUCUAAAGGGACUGCCGGUGUUAAACCGGAGGAAGGUGGGGAUGACGUCAAGUCCUCAUGGCCUUUAUGACCAGGGCUACACACGUACUACAAUGGCCGAUACAAAGGGCAGCGACACUGCGAGGUGAAGCCAAUCCCGUAAAAUCGGUCUCAGUCCGGAUUGGAGUCUGCAACUCGACUCCAUGAAGUUGGAAUCGCCUAGUAAUCGUAGGAUACAGCAUGCCACGGUGAAUACGUUCCCGGGCCUU